GAUGAACGCUGGCGGCGUGCCUAAUACAUGCAAGUCGAGCGAACAGACGAGGAGCUUGCUCCUCUGACGUUAGCGGCGGACGGGUGAGUAACACGUGGAUAACCUACCUAUAAGACUGGGAUAACUUCGGGAAACCGGAGCUAAUACCGGAUAAUAUAUUGAACCGCAUGGUUCAAUAGUGAAAGACGGUUUUGCUGUCACUUAUAGAUGGAUCCGCGCCGCAUUAGCUAGUUGGUAAGGUAACGGCUUACCAAGGCAACGAUGCGUAGCCGACCUGAGAGGGGGAACGGCCCCACUGAAACUGGAACACGGUCCAAACCCCUAGGGGGGGAAGAGGGGGGGAAUUUGCCGAAAGGGGCGAAACCCUGACGGGGAAACCCGCGGGGGGUGAUGAAGGUUUUGGGAUCGUAAAACUCUUUUAUUGGGGAAAAACAAAUUUGUAAGUAACUAUGCCCGUUUUGAGGGUACCAAAUAAAAAAGCCACGGCUAACUACGU
Molecule: ribosomal RNA, 496 nt
Filed under: uncultured bacterium
Lineage: Bacteria
Description: partial 16S ribosomal RNA
Rfam family: Bacterial small subunit ribosomal RNA
Source: RNAcentral